RNAcentral lists this ribosomal RNA (117 nucleotides) under Chrysiogenia bacterium. The record is from RNAcentral. Lineage: Bacteria; Pseudomonadati; Chrysiogenota; Chrysiogenia.
UCCGGUGGCAAUAGCGGAGAGGCCCCACCCGUUCCCAUUCCGAACACGGCCGUUAAGCUCUCCAGCGCCAAUGGUACUGCAAGGGAAUCUUUGUGGGAGAGUAGGACGCUGCCGGAU